UGAGGGCUGAUUCGGCUGCUCUGGCCGUCUGGUGUCUCUUCCUGCCCUACCCCUCAAUGCGAGUCCCUCCCACAUCUGGGCUCAGGGAGUAAAGGUGACCUUCCUUCCCAGAGGAGUGCUAUCAUUUGAGCAAAGGCAUGGAGGUGGCUAAGCUUCUCUAGUUGAACUCAGCAAAAGACAAAGUAGAAGAAUCCUCAAGGUGGGAGCCAAUCUUGCUG
This 218-nucleotide small RNA is filed under the name Otolemur garnettii (small-eared galago). RNAcentral describes it as "7SK RNA (ENSOGAG00000033736.1)". Lineage: Eukaryota; Metazoa; Chordata; Mammalia; Primates; Galagidae. The record is from RNAcentral.